Molecule: ribosomal RNA, 272 nt
Filed under: uncultured bacterium
Lineage: Bacteria
Description: partial 16S ribosomal RNA
Rfam family: Bacterial small subunit ribosomal RNA
Source: RNAcentral
CCGGCGACCGGCGGCACGGGUGAGUAACACGUAUGAAACCUGACCCGUAGCAGGGGGAUAAGCGGAAGAAAUUCCGUNUAAUACCGCGUAACAACCCAUGGAGGCAUCUCUGUGGGUUUAAAGGAAGCGAUUCCGGCUACGGAUGGUCAUGCGUCGCAUUAGCUUGUUGGCGGGGUAACGGCCCACCAAGGCGACGAUGCGUAGGGGUUCUGAGAGGAAGGCCCCCCACACUGGUACUGAGACACGGACCAGACUCCUACGGAAGGCAGCAG